CGUAGGGUGCAAGCGUUGUUCGGAAUCGUUGGGCGUAAAGCGCGUGUAGGUGGCUAGUUAAGUUGGAUGUGAAAUCCCUGGGCUCAACCGAGGAAGUGCAUUCAAAACUGGCUGGCUAGAAGAUGGUAGAGGAAGGUGGAAUUCCAAGUGUAGAGGUGAAAUUCGUAGAUAUUUGGAGGAAUACCGGCGGCGAAGGCGGCCUUCUGGGCCAUUCUUGACACUGAGACGCGAAAGCGUGGGGAGCAAACAGGAUUAGAUACCCUGGUAGUCCACGCUGUAAACGAUGGGUACUAGAUGUUGCAGGAAUUGACCCCUGCAGUGUCGACGCAAACGCAUUAAGUACCCCGCCUGGGAAGUACGGCCGCAAGGUUA
Molecule: ribosomal RNA, 372 nt
Filed under: uncultured organism
Description: bacterial SSU rRNA
Rfam family: Bacterial small subunit ribosomal RNA
Source: RNAcentral